AAUUGGAAGGGUUGGUAUUUAUUAGAUAAAGAACCAAUAUUUUUGGUGACUCAUAAUAACUUUACGGAUCACAUUAUGUGACAUAUCAUUCAAGUUUCUGACCUAUCAGCUUUAGACGGUAGGGUAUUGGCCUACCGUGGCUAUGACGGGUAACGGGGAAUUAGGGUUCGAUUCCGGAGAGGGAGCCUGAGAAACGGCUACCACAUCUAAGGAAGGCAGCAGGCGCGCAAAUUACCCAAUCCUAAUACAGGGAGGUAGUGACAAGAAAUAACAAUACAGGACCUUACGGUUUUGUAAUUGGAAUGAGUUAAGUAUAAACCCCUUAACAAGUAUCAAUUGGAGGGCAAGUCUGGUGCCAGCAGCCGCGGUAAUUCCAGCUCCAAUAGCGUAUAUUAAAGUUGUUGCAGUUAAAAAGCUCGUAGUUAAUUUUCUGUUAAUUUUUAUAUACAAUACUACGGUAUUUAUAUAAUAUUAACAUAAUUCAUAUUACUUUUUAGUAUAUGAAACUUUACUUUGAGAAAAUUAGAGUGCUUAAAGCAGGCUAUUGCCUUGAAUACUCCAGCAUGGAAUAAUAUUAAGGAUUUUUAUUCUUCUUAUUGGUUCUAGAAUAAAAAUAAUGAUUAAUAGGGACAGUUGGGGGCAUUUGUAUUUAACAGUCAGAGGUGAAAUUCUUAGAUUUGUUAAAGACAAACUACUGCGAAAGCAUUUGCCAAGGAUGUUUUCAUUAAUCAAGAACGAAAGUUAGGGGAUCGAAGACGAUCAGAUACCGUCGUAGUCUUAACCAUAAACUAUGCCAACUAGAGAUUGGAGGUUGUUCCUUACUCCUUCAG
This 830-nucleotide ribosomal RNA is filed under the name Cryptosporidium ryanae. RNAcentral's name for it is "SSU rRNA". It matches the Rfam family "Eukaryotic small subunit ribosomal RNA", at positions 189 to 1083 of the family's 1831-position model. The record is from RNAcentral. Lineage: Eukaryota; Apicomplexa; Conoidasida; Eucoccidiorida; Cryptosporidiidae.